GCGAAAUAGCUCAUUCUUCCUAUUCCUCAUUAUGUGGUCAUGUGAAAAAAAAAACCCUAACAAAACCUCGAUUGCAUUGUUCAGCUAGACACUUAUUUGAUAAAGAUAACACAUUAUUAUUAUUAUUAUUAUUAUUAUUAUUAUUAUUAUUAUUAUUAUUAAUUCCUCCUCCUCUUCUUUAGGAAUUGGAAAAGCCUUUUGAAUUUCAAAUAUCGGGGAGACGAUCCAGCCUUUAAAAUCACAUUGGUUUCCAAUCGCAGAGAAAGAAAACGCGUGUCAGACGGAAUGAAGAGAAACAUCGGCUGGAAGGAGAGGCGAAAAAGCGAGGCUCCGGCAAAGUGGAGAAAAAUCCCUUUCCGAAAGGGUUUUGAGAAGAGCUUCUCAGAAUUGGUGCUGCACCAAACUACAAAUCCCUGAGUCUGCAAGACUUGAGAAGAGCUACUGAUGACAGGGCUACCUGGAAGUUCCUCAUUCGUAAGUUUAUCCAUCUAAUACAGUUGUCUACUUCUGACACAAUACUAUUGGAUAUUCAGAAGGGGGGCAGAAAGGUGCUGUUCUUUUUCUGUUGUCCUUUCCUGAGCUUAUCUUCACAGGUAUACUAUAUGGGUUCCAUCUACAUCUUGGAAAAGUGACACACCUUGAUGACAAGUCCCAGCACACCUCUUCUAGAAUGAACAUUGACUGGUGAAAUCUGGAAGACGUAGCUCAAAAGAUAACCCUUCCAAGCUAUAGGAAUAUUAAGAUGCUGUGAUUAAUAACCACUGCUAGACCCGACCUCUAGAAAUGUAUUUAAUACAUUUAAAGAACUUUAAA
Molecule: long non-coding RNA, 813 nt
Filed under: Anolis carolinensis (green anole)
Lineage: Eukaryota; Metazoa; Chordata; Lepidosauria; Squamata; Anolidae
Description: lncRNA (ENSACAG00000035078.1)
Source: RNAcentral